UCACCGCAAGCUUUCUUUGAUAUACUGCAACUUAUGAUUGGCCCACUACCACAGCAGCUACAACCCAUACAGUCUGUGUUGUGCUGCAUCUGACUGAUG
Etheostoma spectabile (orangethroat darter) is the source of this 99-nucleotide long non-coding RNA. RefSeq lists it as uncharacterized. NCBI's taxonomy places the organism in Eukaryota, Metazoa, Chordata, Actinopteri, Perciformes, Percidae. The record is from RefSeq and is a predicted model, not a curated record. The transcript is spliced from 4 exons.